CAGAGAGCAAGGAAUAGCACUAACUAAAAGUGAUGUGCCAAGAAGACGGGAUUUGGCCAUGCAGAGAAGCCAAGGGACAGCCCAGUCUGAGCAGAGUGCUGCUCAUGGACCUGUCAUUGUUCUCAUCACCUGCCCCUGUGGCCAUGGUGGUCCUCUGACAGAAACUUUGGAGAAGGGGAGGAGAGAAGGAGGUUUGCUCACUGCUUCUGCCAGCAACUAUUUUAUUUCUGUUUGUCUUUACAUCAAAAUCCCUUCACAGUGAUGGCCACAAAAUGUUGUAGAAGGUGAAAAUACAUCUGGGUUCAGAAAGAGACCAGAUGAAGAGCACAAACAAGAUUGAAUCCUGCUCACAAUGGGAUGAAGGGAAACAUAGAUUAUCUGUCCCCAGGAAAAAUAAGGAAGGAAUUAGCCCUGCAUUGUGCGCGCUGACACGCUAAAAGCGAGCUGGCUUGGGAGCAAGAAGUUGCUGUGCCCCAGGACGGACCGGGGUGGAGUCCGGAGGGGUGUGGAGGGGGGGCUUCUCCCCGCUCUCCUCUCCAGGAGGGGAGACCCAGAGUCCCCCCUACACUUCGAGACGAGCUAAUCCCUGAAUACACUGAGUAACAGGCGCUGCAUUACGGGGCUGCCCUGAUCCCCCGGCCGUGGCCGCGCCGCCUCGCCUUGGGCAGGUGCCCGCUCUUCUCGCGUGCUGCCCGCCCCGGUGCGGAGGGAAGCGCGGGCGCGGAGAGGGGCGGAGCGGUGCUCACGCAGCCCCCCCCACCCCCGCCGGCCCCCGCCGCGCCGCCGCCACCGGGAUAAAGGCUGAGGCGUGACACGCGCGGACGCAGCGCUGCCCGCUGCCUGCCCGGCCCCCCUGCCGCAACCCCCAGGUGCCCCCGGGAGCCCGCACGCAGAAGGCAGG
Long non-coding RNA from Pezoporus flaviventris, 901 nucleotides. RefSeq lists it as uncharacterized. The record is from RefSeq and is a predicted model, not a curated record. The transcript has 3 exons. Lineage: Eukaryota; Metazoa; Chordata; Aves; Psittaciformes; Psittacidae.